Molecule: long non-coding RNA, 781 nt
Organism: Drosophila biarmipes
Lineage: Eukaryota; Metazoa; Arthropoda; Insecta; Diptera; Drosophilidae
Exons: 3
Source: RefSeq, a predicted model, not a curated record
UCGCCACGGGGGGCCAUCCCCUUUGUCCGACGGCGCUAAUUGCUUCUAUCAAUAUUCAAGAUGUUUCGGCAAAUACGAACAAAUUUGACAAAAACUGGCUUGAAAAAAACAAAACGGGUGUACAAAAGCCGAAACCGGUUAGCAUCUAAAGCUCGUGGAGGAACUAGUUUGGAUUUCUUUUGUUUAUUUUUCAGGCGGUGCCUGGUUUUUGUUGCUGUUCGAUUUCCUUUUCGGGAAACAGAUGUUGCCCAGAACUUUUACGGGUGCCAUGGGCGGAGGCGGAGUGAUCUCCGCGACUGUAAGUUGUUGGUGUCUGUGAGUGGAGGGCAUCCCAGUGAACUUCUGCCUGAGAUUUCUCAAUGCAGCCGAUUGUCGUCCCCUUCGGCUGAUAAGAGGCUGGAUUAAGUGGAAAAACGAUUGUAUUACUUCUUCUAAUUCAUAAGAUAAACAUGCAGAAAGAAGGGAUAGCUGAAGCAGACCUUGUAUUAAAAAUAAUUAUUUCCUCUGACAUAAUAAAUACCCUAGAUUAACACAGAACGGUCCCCAUAUUGAAUACAAAUCUACGAUAUUCAAUUUUAAGAAUUGAAACACGAAUUAAGACACUCACAGCAUUCUUCCAUCAAAAUGAGGAUGAAGUGAACGAUAACAAAGGGACAUUUGUUGAGAUCGCUUAAUCAAACAUGUAAUAUUAGGUAUGCGACUUGUAAUGGAAUAUGCGAAAUUGUUUACGAACUAAAUGGAAAAACAGAGAUUCGAAAUAAAUGUAUAAUUUUUUGUACAA